This 447-nucleotide ribosomal RNA is filed under the name uncultured bacterium. Its description in RNAcentral is "bacterial SSU rRNA". It matches the Rfam family "Bacterial small subunit ribosomal RNA", at positions 355 to 825 of the family's 1533-position model. The record is from RNAcentral.
UGGGGAAUAUUGGACAAUGGGCGAAAGCCUGACCCAGCAACGCCGCGUGAAGGAUGAAGUAUUUCGGUAUGUAAACUUCGUAAGAAUAGGAAGAAUAAAUGACGGUACUAUUUAUAAGGUCCGGCUAACUACGUGCCAGCAGCCGCGGUAAUACGUAGGGACCAAGCGUUGUUCGGAUUUACUGGGCGUAAAGGGCGCGUAGGCGGCAAUUCAAGUCAUCUGUGAAAUCUCCGGGCUUAACUCGGAACGGUCAGAUGAUACUGCUUUGCUAGAGUGCAGAAGGGGCAAUCGGAAUUCUUGGUGUAGCGGUGAAAUGCGUAGAUAUCAAGAGGAACACCUGGGGUGAAGACGGGUUGCUGGGCUGACACUGACGCUGAGGCGCGAAAGCCAGGGGAGCAAACGGGAUUAGAUACCCCCGUAGUCCCUGAGCGGGCUGGCAAGGCGCAU